RNAcentral lists this ribosomal RNA (497 nucleotides) under uncultured bacterium. RNAcentral describes it as "partial 16S ribosomal RNA". It matches the Rfam family "Bacterial small subunit ribosomal RNA", at positions 28 to 507 of the family's 1533-position model. The record is from RNAcentral.
GAUGAACGCUGGCGGCGUGCCUAAUACAUGCAAGUCGAGCGAACAGACGAGGAGCUUGCUCCUCUGACGUUAGCGGCGGACGGGUGAGUAACACGUGGAUAACCUACCUAUAAGACUGGGAUAACUUCGGGAAACCGGAGCUAAUACCGGAUAAUAUAUUGAACCGCAUGGUUCAAUAGUGAAAGACGGUUUUGCUGUCACUUAUAGAUGGAUCCGCGCCGCAUUAGCUAGUUGGUAAGGUAACGGGUUACCAAGGCAACGAUGCGUAGCCGACCUGAGAGGGUGAUCGGCCACACUGGAACGGAGCCGCGGUCCAGACUCCUACGGGAGGCACCAGUAGGGAAUCUUCCGCAAUGGGCGAAAGCCUGACGGAGCAACGCCGCGUGAGUGAUGAAGGUCUUCGGAUCGUAAAACUCUGUUAUUAGGGAAGAACAAAUGUGUAAGUAACUAUGCACGUCUUGACGGUACCUAAUCAGAAAGCCACGGCUAACUACGUG